AGCAGUAGCUCAGUGGUAGAGCUCCCGCUUCUUAUGAGGGAAGACCUGAGUUCGAUUCUUGGUUGCU
This 67-nucleotide transfer RNA is filed under the name Toxocara canis (dog roundworm). It matches the Rfam family "tRNA". From Rfam's summary of the family: Transfer RNA (tRNA) molecules are approximately 80 nucleotides in length. Their secondary structure includes four short double-helical elements and three loops (D, anti-codon, and T loops). Lineage: Eukaryota; Metazoa; Nematoda; Chromadorea; Rhabditida; Toxocaridae. The record is from Rfam by way of RNAcentral.